UAUUAUUUAUUAAGUUACUAUUAUAUAUUAGCCGCGAUAGGAUAUUCCGUUGCAGAUGCUUAAGAUUAUUAGAUGUAGAUUUAUUUCUUCUUCUAAAAUCGACAACGGAUGCUCAAGGAUUCUUCCUUUUAUCUGACUUACUAUUUACUUAAUGUAAGUAUUAAUCUAGUUUCUACAUUGUUCAUUUCGACCUAGCGGCAAGCUAGACAUAGAGAUUGCAAUUGCAUUCUGUUAUUCACUACAAGAAAAUAAAAAAUUUACGUUAUAAAUAUUUUACAAAACCUUAAAAAUUUUAAUUAUAGGAAAAAGUUUGGUUGGUGAUUGAAAACAGAAUCUCCUACAUUAACUUAACCUCGAUGAAUAUAUCUCUCUAGUUAAACGCUACGCUAGGAUCGUUUAUGAAGCUUGCUAACGCUAUCGCGCUACUGGCUCCAAGAACAGCAUUGGUAGCGUUUGCGUCCAUAGCACGAAUAGUGUUUCUCCGAACGCACUCACAGAGCACGUGAAAAUGUACCUUCAAGCAUCGUCAGAUUCAGGGCUACCCCUCUUGUUCCGAGCAUAACCAGCAUUUGUGACGACCUCAUAGCUAUAACACAGGAAAUGAAGAACUAAUAUUUAAUAUGGUUGUUUAAUAUGGAAAUCAUCGGCCGACGUCUUUAACACAAUAUAAACAUAAAUUAAUAUAGCUGUGUUCAUUAUGGAUGAUCACGCGCUCUUUAAGCGCUUGUAAUCAUUCUAUCUUUAUCUUCAAGCGCUUUCAAUUUGAAAAAGAACCUGUAUAAAAACAUACUAGUAUUACUAUUAUAUAUAUACUACUGUUAUAUAUAUACUACUGUUACUACUAGCAGGAAUAAAUUCGCGUCACUA
This 867-nucleotide small RNA is filed under the name Atta cephalotes. RNAcentral's name for it is "sRNA LOC105624031". The record is from RNAcentral. Lineage: Eukaryota; Metazoa; Arthropoda; Insecta; Hymenoptera; Formicidae.